This 820-nucleotide ribosomal RNA is filed under the name Pseudoduganella buxea. Its description in RNAcentral is "bacterial SSU rRNA". It matches the Rfam family "Bacterial small subunit ribosomal RNA", at positions 198 to 1000 of the family's 1533-position model. The record is from RNAcentral. Lineage: Bacteria; Pseudomonadati; Pseudomonadota; Betaproteobacteria; Burkholderiales; Oxalobacteraceae.
GGAUGAAAGCAGGGGACCGCAAGGCCUUGUGCUCCUGGAGCGGCCGAUAUCUGAUUAGCUAGUUGGUAGGGUAAAGGCCUACCAAGGCAUCGAUCAGUAGCUGGUCUGAGAGGACGACCAGCCACACUGGAACUGAGACACGGUCCAGACUCCUACGGGAGGCAGCAGUGGGGAAUUUUGGACAAUGGGCGCAAGCCUGAUCCAGCAAUGCCGCGUGAGUGAAGAAGGCCUUCGGGUUGUAAAGCUCUUUUGUCAGGGAAGAAACGGGUGUGGCUAAUAUCUGCAUCUAAUGACGGUACCUGAAGAAUAAGCACCGGCUAACUACGUGCCAGCAGCCGCGGUAAUACGUAGGGUGCAAGCGUUAAUCGGAAUUACUGGGCGUAAAGCGUGCGCAGGCGGUUUUGUAAGUCUGUUGUGAAAUCCCCGGGCUUAACCUGGGAAUGGCAAUGGAGACUGCAAGGCUAGAGUUUGGCAGAGGGGGGUAGAAUUCCACGUGUAGCAGUGAAAUGCGUAGAGAUGUGGAGGAACACCGAUGGCGAAGGCAGCCCCCUGGGUCAAGACUGACGCUCAUGCACGAAAGCGUGGGGAGCAAACAGGAUUAGAUACCCUGGUAGUCCACGCCCUAAACGAUGUCUACUAGUUGUCGGGUCUUAAUUGACUUGGUAACGCAGCUAACGCGUGAAGUAGACCGCCUGGGGAGUACGGUCGCAAGAUUAAAACUCAAAGGAAUUGACGGGGACCCGCACAAGCGGUGGAUGAUGUGGAUUAAUUCGAUGCAACGCGAAAAACCUUACCUACCCUUGACAUGGCAGGAAUCCCG